Molecule: long non-coding RNA, 914 nt
Filed under: Nicotiana benthamiana
Lineage: Eukaryota; Viridiplantae; Streptophyta; Magnoliopsida; Solanales; Solanaceae
Description: long non-coding RNA (NBEN_LNC023794)
Source: RNAcentral
CUGGUGUGUGGUACUUCAUUGAAAGUUGCAACUUAAUACUAGUUGUAGGAGAACAACUAUAGUGUAUGGAUCUGCUUAUGUCUCUACUUCGCUUGAUUCUCAUGCCAGUGGACUUCAUGCUCUGUUUUUGGCCUUAUUAGCUUGACUCAUGUAACGACAAGCUAGACCGAAGCUCAACCAUAGUUGGUUUUGGUCGUUGAAGCUUUCUUUGUUGCUUUCAGGGUAUUUUGAAAUAGAUUUAGAAGUUAAAAACGUCAUAUAUUUUGAUCUUAUUUUCCUCUUCACUACGUUAUAGGGCAAGAUCCCUUAUCUAUUGGAUGUGGGAACCUUUUUAUUGUAGGAGAUAAUCGGAGAGAGAAAAGUCUUCCUAUCAAUUCCUUUUGAAUAAGGCUACGCUCCUUCAAGCCUUUGAAACUAUUGAAAAUAGAAUCUUUGUUUUCAGGCGGGUUUUCUUCUCCACCAACAACCAAGACGCAUGAAAGCGGUUUCCAGCGCUGCUGGGCAGAAAGACAUGAUGGCAUGAAACUCGAUUACGUACGCUGAUUGUUCGUCCACUUCAAACGCUCAAAACAGACCAUUUCCUGUGUGAUAGAACUCCGGUCCUGCAACUCCUUCCCUUGAUAGCCUUGAGUUGUUGGUUACACCGCACCGGAAAAGCACUCUCUGGGAAAUCCGGAUCUUUCUCAGCAGGGACAGUACCAAGGAUAUCAGGGUUAGAUAGCUUUUUUUUCUCUGGCAGUCUAAAAUCUUUCCAAUCAAUCGGGAAAGCCUAUACCCGAAAGAGGGAAACCUUCUGUUUGCUUGCCAUUAUCAUUCUCUAGCACAAUCUCAUUGCUCCAAUGUAACGUAAACUAAUCCGUGUCUUCCUUCACUGUUAGAAGAUUAAAAAAAUAGACGAAUGGAGAUGAAUUAAA